UCAAGGUACUCAGUGCUCAUUUGCUAAAGAACAAAGUGCAUAGUGCUGAGGAACAGAAAUUAAGAGUGAGAGAAAUACUGCAGCCCACAAGUCGUGUAAAUUACAACAGAGGACGACCAUUAAAAUUCUGUCCCUGUCACCGAACCGGAGUGAGAAGUGGUCUGAUGGGAGUAAAGGCACAAGAGAACACAGCUUGGAUCCAAGAGCAAGCCAUUUUCAUAUGGAUUGAUGCAGUUUUUGCCAUUAGUAACAAUGGAAAAACUUGCCAGGCACCAUGACUGGGCUUUCCAGCACUGGUCUAGUUCGUACAUGGUCACAGUUCGCACACGAGCAGCGAAGGUCAUCAGGCACCGGGAGGUGAAUGAGUAGAGUCCGGCCAGAGGCGUGGCGGUAGAGGAAGAGCAUCCCGAUAGUUUUACAGCAGGAGCGAUGACCCUUGCUUUGUUUCUGCAGGUAAUGACCUUUUGCUCAAUUACACCACAAGUUUCACGUACGCUCUUUCAUCCUCUACUUAUUAUGGACCACAUAAAAAAAGGCCCCUUCAGAACGAAAGUCUGAUAAAGCAUCAGCGAUGGGCAGAAGC
This is a long non-coding RNA of Chroicocephalus ridibundus (black-headed gull), 583 nucleotides long. RefSeq lists it as uncharacterized. The transcript is spliced from 5 exons. The record is from RefSeq and is a predicted model, not a curated record. NCBI's taxonomy places the organism in Eukaryota, Metazoa, Chordata, Aves, Charadriiformes, Laridae.